AAACCACAUUCAUACAUUUCUUGUACUAAUUAAUCUCUUGUUUUCCCUUACUUUGCAAGCAAACCCACCAAGGGGAAGCAAUGGGUUCUGAGUCUCUAGCUCAUGUUCUUCUUAUUUCUUUUCCUGGCCAGGGCCACGUAAACCCUUUGCUUAGACUUGGCAAGCGUCUUGCCUCUAAGGGUUUGCUUGUCACUUUCUCUACACCUGAAAUCACUGGCCGGCAGAUGAAAAAAUCAGGCAGCGUCUUUGAUGAGCCUACCCCAGUUGGUGAUGGCUACAUCCGGUUCGAGUUCUUUGAAGAUGGCUGGGAUGAUGAUGAGCCUAGACGACAAGACCUUGACCAAUACCUGCCUCAACUUGAGCUUGUUGGGAAGAAGUUGAUUCCUGAGAUGAUCAAGAGAAACGCCGAGCAAGGUCGCCCAAUUUCUUGCCUCAUCAACAACCCUUUCAUUCCUUGGGUUUCUGAUGUGGCGGCAAGUCUUGGUCUCCCUUCAGCAAUGCUCUGGGUUCAAUCUUGUGCUUGUUUCUCUGCCUACUAUCAUUAUUAUCAUGGUCUUGUCCCUUUCCCUAGUGAGGAAAACCCAGAGAUCGAUGUUCAGUUGCCAUGUAUGCCUCUCUUGAAAUAUGAUGAAGUUCCAAGCUUCUUAUAUCCUACAACUCCAUAUCCUUUCUUGAGGAGAGCUAUUUUGGGUCAGUAUGGGAAUCUUGACAAGCCUUUCUGCAUCUUGAUGGAAUCAUUUCAAGAGCUGGAGCCGGAGAUCAUUGAGUACAUGUCCAAACUGUGCCCAAUCAAGCCGGUUGGUCCUUUGUUUAAGAACCCUAAAGCACCAAACUCAGCUGUUCGAGGCGACAUCAUGAAGGCUGAUGAUUGCAUUGACUGGUUGGACAGCAAGCCACCCUCAUCGGUGGUUUAUGUUUCUUUCGGUAGUGUGGUGUACUUGAAGCAAGACCAGUGGGAUGAAAUUGCAUAUGGGCUAUUGAAGUCUGGUGUCUCAUUCUUGUGGGUCAUGAAACCACCACACAAAGAUUCAGGAUAUGAGGUUCUUGUUUUGCCUGAAGGGUUCUUGGAGAAAGCAGGAGAUAAGGGCAAAGUAGUGCAAUGGAGUCCACAAGAGAAAGUUUUAGCUCACCCAUCAACUGCAUGCUUCGUGACACACUGUGGAUGGA
RNAcentral lists this unclassified non-coding RNA (1167 nucleotides) under Hevea brasiliensis (rubber tree). The record is from RNAcentral. Lineage: Eukaryota; Viridiplantae; Streptophyta; Magnoliopsida; Malpighiales; Euphorbiaceae.